GGUGAACGCUGGCGGCGUGCCUAAUACAUGCAAGUCGAGCGAAUGGAUUAAGAGCUUGCUCUUAUGAAGUUAGCGGCGGACGGGUGAGUAACACGUGGGUAACCUGCCCAUAAGACUGGGAUAACUCCGGGAAACCGGGGCUAAUACCGGAUAACAUUUUGAACCGCAUGGUUCGAAAUUGAAAGGCGGCUUCGGCUGUCACUUAUGGAUGGACCCGCGUCGCAUUAGCUAGUUGGUGAGGUAACGGCUCACCAAGGCAACGAUGCGUAGCCGACCUGAGAGGGUGAUCGGCCACACUGGGACUGAGACACGGCCCAGACUCCUACGGGAGGCAGCAGUAGGGAAUCUUCCGCAAUGGAUGAAAGUCUGACGGAGCAACGCCGCGUGAGUGAUGAAGGCUUUCGGGUCGUAAAACUCUGUUGUUAGGGAAGAACAAGUGGUAGUUGAAUAAGCUGGCACCUUGACGGUACCUAACCAGAAAGCCACGGCUAACUACGUGCCAGCAGCCGCGGUAA
RNAcentral lists this ribosomal RNA (515 nucleotides) under uncultured bacterium. RNAcentral's name for it is "partial 16S ribosomal RNA". It matches the Rfam family "Bacterial small subunit ribosomal RNA", at positions 28 to 523 of the family's 1533-position model. The record is from RNAcentral.